UACAUAUAUAACACACAGGAAAACAACUGAAUAUAGUGACUUGAGUGGUUAUGAUACCUCACGUAAGGGAUCUUUUUCAGAAACUAUUCUUCGGUGUGUGAUGUGUUGCUUUCUAGAAAGAAUGGGGCUGACAGCACUUCUGUAAUGAAUAAUGACCUGGGAAGAGAGAGACGGAGAAGCCAGGAAGGAGUAAUUAACAAGGAAGU
This 206-nucleotide long non-coding RNA is filed under the name Bos taurus (domestic cattle). RNAcentral's name for it is "long non-coding RNA NONBTAT016469". Lineage: Eukaryota; Metazoa; Chordata; Mammalia; Artiodactyla; Bovidae. The record is from RNAcentral.